AAAAUUACUGCCUAAUUGCAAGAUCGUCGAGCGAUGUCAAUAUCAUGUGCUAAUAAUUAUUUAGAGUAAGUAAUUGUAUUUACCUUUUUACAUUAUAUUGUACGUACGAGUUUAUUGUGGCUUUGGUGUAUUUUGGUCUACAUCAAUGACAUUUUUGGCUGUUGCUUCUACAAACUUCUUGGUUUAACCAUAUUGCUCCCUUUGGACAGAGGUUCAAAGGCGCAAUGAGCUUUGCUUACAGUACGACAUCCAUGAAUGCAGGAGCAAGAAGAUUUAAGCACCUUCAAAGAUUUGAAUAUAUUGUUAUAUUUUCUUUAAUAAUGUUUUCGUAAGAGCAUCACUAAUAGAUGAUGUAUAUGUAAAAAUAAUCAAAAACUAAGGCCAAAAACGUCCCUCCAAUAAAUGAUAGAUGCAAAAAAUAAUUCUCAGGUGUUACUCUACAUGUAAAAUACAUCAUCAAGUGAUGCAAAUAUACAUCAUAAGACGCGCGGUCGAGUAAAGUGGCAAUGCGUCGCACGAAAGCCCAACUGUCAUGCGGAAAUUUCCCGCAGCCCGCCUGCCCUCCCGCUGCCCACCGCCUGCCAGACCCCAUGGCGGACUCCCCCGACCCUACGGCCGCCGCAGCCAGUCUUACGCACCUCGCCAUGGCCGCCGCCACGGCUCCCACCUUUCUCGACGCCGCCAUGCCGCCCCCCAUCUCGUCGCACCAGAUUUGUUUGGGCCCGUCCCGUGGCUGCCGCUGGUAUGGGUGUGCCGCCGAUGAAGAAGGCGAUCGCGGCCAAAUCUCGUGGUGGAGGCACGAAGCAGCCACCGCAGCUUCAUCCUAGUCCAAGAAGACCAAGGCGGACGCGGCUGCUUCGUUGCCGCUUCUGCCCGCGGCAAGUGCGCCCGGUGAUGGCACGACAGCCCCACCACCACCACCACGGCAAGCCACGCCGCCGGCCAUCGAGGAGGACCCGUCCAUGCCCGUGGCUACCGCCUUCAACGUGCUCAACGAAAUGUCGCAAAGUCUUCAUGAUGACACAUCUAUGUGCAUGAAAAAGGUCGCGACCGAAGAUUUUGUCUCUCAAGAAUAUGCAUUGCGAGAAUAUGAUACUCAACUGGGUGAUGAGAAUGUCGACAUAGAUGAGGAGGGCCUGUUGACAAUGUGAAGGGAAGAACCGCAAAUUAUUCGGACGUCGAAUAUGUAUUGAUUUGUACCGUGUGGAAGCGAGUCUCUCCUGACACAUCCGUGGGAAGUGACCAAUCUGCGGCCACAUACUGAAACCGCAUCAAAGAUUUCUUUGAUGAGCGCAACACUAGUGGCCACUAUUGAUCAAGGGAUUCUAUUCACCGCCAAUGGGGCACCAUCGGCACCGAAUGCCAAAAGUGGGCAGGUUGCUUGGCCAAUAUUGACCGCAUGAACCCUAGUGGUUGCAAUGAAAAAGACAAGACAAUUGCUUGCUACUUUUGAGUGCUUUCUCAUGCUACAUUAACCAAGUAAGCAUAUGUACCUAAAUCAA
Molecule: non-coding RNA, 1502 nt
Organism: Aegilops tauschii subsp. strangulata
Lineage: Eukaryota; Viridiplantae; Streptophyta; Magnoliopsida; Poales; Poaceae
Source: RefSeq, a predicted model, not a curated record